UGGGGAAUAUUGCACAAUGGGCGAAAGCCUGAUGCAGCGACGCCGCGUGAGGGAUGACGGCCUUCGGGUUGUAAACCUCUUUCAGUAGGGACGAAGCGCAAGUGACGGUACCUGCAGAAGAAGCACCGGCUAACUACGUGCCAGCAGCCGCGGUAAUACGUAGGGUGCGAGCGUUGUCCGGAAUUACUGGGCGUAAAGAGCUCGUAGGCGGUUUGUCACGUCGUCUGUGAAAUCCUCGGGCUUAACCCUGGACGUGCAGGCGAUACGGGCUGACUUGAGUACUACAGGGGAGACUGGAAUUUCUGGUGUAGCAGUGGAAUGCACAGAUAUCAGGAAGAACACCGAUGGCGAAGGCAGGUCUCUGGGUAGUAACUGACGCUGAGGAGCGAAAGCAUGGGUAGCGAACAGG
Molecule: ribosomal RNA, 409 nt
Filed under: bacterium
Lineage: Bacteria
Description: partial 16S ribosomal RNA
Rfam family: Bacterial small subunit ribosomal RNA
Source: RNAcentral